AAGAGAAANAAAGUGGUAAACAGGGUUNCGGAAGGGGAACCNGNAAGAAAUUAAUUAANAAUNGGGNAAAUGGAACAAAAGGGGGUUUUUUUUGAAACAAAACGGGGNUUGGGGGGGGGCCCCAGCCGGGCGGCCCAGAGGUUUAAACUAUACAACCCAAUUUUUUAAAUCAAUUGUGUAAACACCCAGAAUAAUUAUUAAUAGUCAAAACUUUCAACAACGGAUCUCUUGGUUCUCGCAUCGAUGAAGAACGCAGCGAAAUGCGAUACGUAAUAUGAAUUGCAGAUAUUCGUGAAUCAUCGAAUCUUUGAACGCACAUUGCGCCCUCUGGUAUUCCGGAGGGCAUGCCUGUUUGAGUCGUCGUUUCUCCCUCAAACCGCUGGGUUUGGUGUUGAGCAAUACGACUUGGGUUUGUCUUGAAAGACGGUAGUGGUAAGGCGGGAUCGCUUUGACAAUGGCUUAGGUCUAACCAAAAACAUUGUCUUGCGGCGGUAACGUCUACCACGUAUAUCUUCAAACUUUGACCUCAAAUCAGGUCUCU
Molecule: unclassified non-coding RNA, 541 nt
Filed under: Candida albicans
Lineage: Eukaryota; Fungi; Ascomycota; Pichiomycetes; Serinales; Debaryomycetaceae
Description: sequence contains 18S rRNA gene, ITS1, 5.8S rRNA gene, ITS2, 28S rRNA gene
Rfam family: 5.8S ribosomal RNA (bases 209-362)
Source: RNAcentral